Elgaria multicarinata webbii is the source of this 4050-nucleotide long non-coding RNA. RefSeq lists it as uncharacterized. The transcript is spliced from 3 exons. The record is from RefSeq and is a predicted model, not a curated record. Lineage: Eukaryota; Metazoa; Chordata; Lepidosauria; Squamata; Anguidae.
CAAGCCAGCAGGUUCAUCUUUUAAAACCUUCUGGGGGUUGUAGCAGGAAAAUAGGAGUCCAUCCAUGGAUGACUUGAUCCACACACAUGUUUUUGACUCUACCAAAGUCUCCUGCCCUUUUCCACAGCCCUGGAAAUGUUACAUGAGUGGUGGGAUUGCCAGGUGGCAGGUGUAUUCGGCGACAUCGUAAUUAAGUCCGUUCGAACUAAAGUGAGAAGAGAUUCCGGCAGAGGAUCCACAAGUUGAGGUGGAAGAACAAGUCGGCGUGGAACCGCUACACUAUCCGCUUGCUACAACCAGAGAGCCUGAAAUGGGCACAAUCCCUGCCUUGGAUCAUAACACUGCUUUAGUAGUGUCUCCAAAUGAAGUAUCUUCAGAGACAGGACAUUUAGUGUCCUGUCUGCGAGCCAGGAACAUGUGCAGUUGCUCCGCGGCAUUCAAAGAGAAUUCCCAAACCCAGUGAGAGGCUGAAUUUGUAAAAUCAAAGGACUUUGUGGGGCACCUGGGAAAAAAGGAAGGAUCCUUCUGAAUGCCUAGAUGGCAGAAUUUCCUGGCUGCCAUGAUGACAGAAAAGGUCCUGAAAAGGCAACUCUAGAAAUUCUUUUCCAAAAUGCUGGAGAGAUAAAUCCAACACUCCUUACCAUCUGAACAUCCGGCUAUAAUGAAGUGGUUAUCAGAAAAUGGAACGGAGCUCCAAUGAGACACAGCUUCAUCACUGUCCCCUCUCUGCUCCAUGAGAUUAGACCUCCAACAGACCUCCAUUGGACUCUCAGAUUUGCGGAGCGGAGCACACAUCCCUAGCUCUAUCAUAUUGCUGUUGCUUUACCAGCUGGACGAACAAAGAAUUUUUAAAAAGACUCCAUGAGAACAUCUCAAUCCACAAGGACUCUUUUCUAUUGGCGUCUUUCCAUCUGAACUGGGAACUACACAGCUCGGCCCUUUAUUUGCUGAAAACUGGCAUUCCUACAAAAUGCUUCUGUGAUCCAAACCAUGUCUGUAGUUAGUAAUUAUUUGGACACCUCUUGACCCAAUAUGGUAUUAGCUUUGCCCUGUCAUCCUAUUAACACUGCAGAAUUUAGGCUGCAUUCAGGGACAAUUGUUUUUCAGAGAGUUACAGAACCAUUGAUUGAUUGAUUGAUUGAUUGAUUGAAUUUAUAUACCACUCAACUGGUAAAUGCUCUUGGGGUGGUUUAUAAUCAUAGAGCUUCUCUACGCACAGGAAAAAUCUGAAAGCUUUACUGGGGCUUUUGUCCUCUGCAGUCUUCCUACCACCAAGAUGUGCUCCUUGUGACCACAUGAUUUUUGAAUUGAAAACUUCACUACUUGGAAAGGCUCCAUUGUGUUUAAUGAGUCACUGCCGUCUAGUGGCUAAAGUAUAGCACAGCACUGACUUUACACACUAGGAGAUCCUGUGAUAUCUCAGAUGACACAUUAUCUCCAUUUAAAAGAGAGAGAGAAUCGAGAUUCCUGGGGGAUAGCUUGGGAGACAUCCUGAAUGUUGAUGACAUCAUGUAAUGGUCCCACAAUCUUCCAUGAGUGGCCAAUCACGAACGUGCAAUAAAUUGCUCGUUUAGAGAAGCUCAUAAAAACAAAUACUAAAAACAAUCAAUAAAAACAAACAAUCAAACAAGACAACAAAUUCAAUGAAAAUAUCAAAAUAUUAAAUAACUAAAAACUUAAAAAUAUCAAAAAGCCAGUGGGAAAAAUUAUAGUCAGAGCAGCAGAUUAGAAAUUAAGUGGCUGCUUAAUGAGGAACCUGGUGCCUAAACAUGUACUAUGAAGACAGCAGGUCCCUGGGAAAGAGGGGCCAUUGCAGAGAAGAGCUCCAAAAAUUAUCUUAACUAUCAGGCAGGAGCAUAUGAGAAAGCCACCCUAUCCACAAGUUAUGCCUGUUGGGCUGGAUAUUUAUUUAUUUGAAGGAUUUUUGCCACAUUCUUAAGACAAAAAAGACUCAUACGGAUGCUUGCAAGAUGGGUCCUGCCUUCAGGUAUAGAGUCUUAAAUAGGGAUGGGCAGACUUCAAGCUUAUUAGAUCUACUUUGUUUUUUUACUCAGACCCCAAGACCCAUCAACCCGAGCCAGGGACAAAAGACUUAGAAUUCAAGAACAGGAUGCUUCCGAUUGAGCAUAUUUGGUGCCUCGGAAUUUGUUUUGGGUACCAGAACUGAACUUGGGUACCAGAAGUUUCCAGCCCUUUCCCCCAAACAUUCACUCCUAAUUAGUCCACAUCAAGUAGGAAUCUGCUUCGUCCUUCAGAUCUAAGCAGUGAACGUAAAAGACAAUUAGCAGGAAUUUAAUAUAAAAAUGAGCACUGGAUAUUUAUUAGAGAAAUAUGCAGAGAGUUAAAAAUAAAUAUUAAGUUGCAGAAAUGCAUAUAUAACAAUUUAUAUAAACAAUUGCCUAAUACACAAACAGAUAUAAAAAGGAGCACAACUAUAAACUAUAGAUUUAAUAUGAAAAGUAUUAAUAAACCAAUAGAAAAUACUUUUAUGCCUAUGAUAUGGUAAAUACGCAACCAAACAUUUAUAAUGUAACAAGUAUAAAAUAUUAAAUGUAAAGCAGACAAAAACAUUUCAUAGUACUAUAUAUGAUAUAAUAAAUCUUCAUGACAAGUAGAUAUACACACAAGGACACUUAUUUAAUAGGCCGCCUAGAAGGGUCAAGGGUAGCCAUAUGUCCACUUCCAUAUGUCCUUUUCUUUCAUUUGCUUGACAAAAAAGUCCACUUGCCCCACCAGUGUCCAGUGUGCUGCUUCCUCCCUCUCCUUCUGAGCUUGCAUCUUCAUCAUCUCUCUGAUGGAUCGUUGCUUUUCCAUUAUGGGGUCCAAGAUUUGCAAGUCACGAGGGGGGGUUCUCCAUGGGAUAAGUGUAUCCCCUUUGUCGGGUGGAGAUGCAGAAGGGGCAUCAGCUGGAAGCUGACUUUUCGCAGGUGCUGAUGUGCAGAUGCUACUUGGCCUUCAAACGUUUUCUGCUGGAAUAGUUGGCCUGGUAGGGAGACCAGUUGCUUUCCCAGCAACACUGGCUUGCACUCUCCACCCACCGGCUUGGGAAAACUAAGAUGACAAUGGGCUUUGAUUCAUAUCAGUUCUGACGUCUGCACUGACUGUGGCAGUGGUUUGGAUUACCAAGGUUUUAGUCUAGUCGCUGACCUGGGCAGUGGCUUUGGCAAUGAGCUGGGCAAUGCUUUUGGGCGAGGGAGAGGUAGCUUUGACCAAGAGGACAGCACUGGGUUGGGCACAUAGGUUGACCCUGGCUUUGCCACAGACGUCUCCACUGGUUUUGCCACAGAGGUCACCACUGGCUUUGGUGAAGAUGUCUGCACUGGCUUUGGCCACAAGGUUGUCACUGACCUUCACACAGGGGACGGCACUGGCUCUGGUACAGACGUUGCCACUGACUUUGGCCAAGAGAUAGGUACUGGAUUUUGCCCAGAGGUCUGCACUGCCUUUGGCCAAGGGGUCUGCAGUGCCUUUGGAUGGGACGUGGACACUGGCCUUGGCAAAGAAGUCUCUACUGCCAUUGGCAAACUGGUCGGCACUUGCUUUGGCUGAGAGGUUGGCGGUGGCUUUGGCAGUGGGCUUAGAUGAAUCUUUGGCAGUGAGCAUGGAUUUGGAAGUCGCUUAGGGAGAGGUCUUGCCAUUGCAGCCAAUGGCUCCGGAACAUCUCUGGAAGAAUUAAGUCGAGGACCCUUCUUCAUAGGCAGUGAUGGAACAGAGUCCCUCAUGCCCAAAGUCAGAUUGCUCCUGGGGAUUAGCUCCUUGUGAGCACUUUCCCCAGGCUCCUUUGUCUUCUGGGGCACUUUUUUCCUACCCUUAGUCCCAGAAGGCACACUAAGGAAUGGUGCCUUUGAAGGUGGCUGGACAGGCUGGCAGUUCAUUGGGUCCACUUUGCAGCGUCCUCGUUCCAGAGGGAUCCGGAGCAUUUCCCAAACAUUUCCGGAUGCUGCAGGGAGGAAGACACAUCAGUUUAUGCAAGCGUUCUGUUUGUAAUUCAUCCUAUACUAUAGAGACUAUCUGUUCUACAUAUUGUUUUAUAUGUUAAUGUUUUAUGGU